This is a long non-coding RNA of Oryza sativa Japonica Group (Japanese rice), 570 nucleotides long. RefSeq lists it as uncharacterized. The record is from RefSeq and is a predicted model, not a curated record. NCBI's taxonomy places the organism in Eukaryota, Viridiplantae, Streptophyta, Magnoliopsida, Poales, Poaceae.
UAUAUAUCGAGUGCAUAUAUAUGAAUGUGUAUCUAUAGAUACAAAACCUAUAUAUAUAUUUAAUUACUUCGAUAUAUAUAGAUGUAGUCAACCAAUAGUGAACAAAGAACAUGAAGGCAAGAAAUAGAGUGACGUCUAGGUGGCCGGCGACAGCACAUAUUUCUGGAAUAGCGAUGAAGACGAUGUUCUAAAUUAGUGUUGCAACCUUCUUGAAGGCGUCGCGUUGGAAGUUCCAUCUUAAUUGGUGAGGCAUCCUUAUGGCGGUAUCAUAACCGGUUGGAUUUCAUCGCAAUGGUGGCGGCAUGAUAUGGACAAACGACUGAUUUACCACUUAGUUACUCUUGGAUGAUACAUUCCGCUUUGGUUCAACAUUAAUCAUUGGAGAUGCUGGGAGUGGAAUUUGAUCGACAAUAUAAUCAGACUAUGAUUUCGAAGAUUCUACCUUCUUGUUUAAGUAACACAAGGAGUACAUGCAACUAGUAAGUCGCUGAUAGAAACAGCUACAAUGGAAAUUUAUGAUGGUAUACUAAUUAUUUUAAUUCGCAGCUGUUCAUCCUACAGUCUCUAUAA